UGACCCGAGAUUGCGCUACUGCACUCCAGCCUGGGCGACAGAGCGAGGUUCCGUCUCGAAAAAAAAAACAACGAAAAGGGGACUCACUUCGGAGAAGCUGCCCUCUCUGCAAACUUAUUUGAAGAUGUGGUCUUGCUAUGUUGCCCGGGCUGAGUGCAGUGACUAUUCACAGGCCGGAUCUAGUGCACUGCAGUCUUGAACUCCUGGCUUACAGUCCUGCUGGUUCUGAGAGGCAGGGGAAGAAACGGCCACCAUGCUCUGCAGCUAGGUCUCAGCAUGAGGACCAAGAACCCUGGUGUUCCUCCACUCAUCGGAGCCGUAUCAUUUUGGUGCAUUGGCCAGGAAAGGAAAUUCAAUCAUGAGACUGGACCUUUGGCAAGUAAAGGGAGACUUAGGCUGGUUUUCUGAUGACCUUAAUAAGUAUAUGGAAGCUUUCCAAUAUUUAACUCAGGUAUGUAACCUCUCAUGAAGGGAUGUUAUGUUGCUGCUAAGGCAAACCCUUACUGUAGGUAAAAUAAGCAGCUCUGCAAGCAGAAGAAAAUUUUGGAGAUAAGUAAUGUCUCCUAUAGAAGGCCAAAAGGGAAAAGAAAAAAAUAGGGAAGGCAAAGGGGAAACACCAUUCCCAAUAGGAAAAGAGGCAAUACCUCCUGACAACCCUAAUUGGAACUCCUUUCUGUGGUGUUUUUCCUUGUUUUGCAGUUUAAAAUGGCUUCUCUUUUAUAAUGUUCUUCCAACAUGGAAAAGGUUAAUUUUCCAAACCUUAAAAUGUUUGGCAUAGAGUUGAGCUAGGGGGAAGGAAACCCAGCCCAGAAGCCUGAUAUGCUGGCAAAAGGGUAAAAAUUUCUUACCAGUCAGGCUUUUGGCUUCUCUCUUCCUGUGGAAACCGGCAAAAGGGAUAAUAAAGAUCAUUGUUUAUGUUUUCUUUAAAUUUAUAGUUAAUGAAAAAGGAUUUGUGAGGUUGGUCUUAAGCUGUAAACAAUCUGCUCUUCUUUGUAUGUCUUUCUGUGUGGUUCUGUUAAAGAAAAGGUAUCUUAGGUCAGGAUGCAGGCCCAGAAACCCAUAAGCCUGCUGUUCAAACCAGCCCAGCAAAGUAUCCAGUGGCAAACUUGGCUACAGGCCUCCAUCUUGUUUCAUGUCAUGGGAACAUAAUCUGUAACCAUGUGGCAAUACUUUGUUUUUGUCUCCGCCAUUUUACAAUGGUGGCUGUCUUCUUGUGCUAAAUCAGAUAAGCCAGUUUGUCAGUCUGGGCUGUGUCAGCUGAUCCAUCAAGGGCAGGGUUUACAAAACAUCUUAAGCACUGAUCAUAACAGCCGUUUAGGGAGGGUCAAAAUCUUGUAGCCUCCAAUUGCAUGGCUCUUGGGCCAUGGUUUCUAAUCCUGUAGCUAGUUUCUUGGUCUGGUCCCCAGGCAAAAGGGAAGUAUAUCUUGAGAAGCAGCUGCUAUCUUCUUUGUUUUAGACUAUAAACUGUAAACCAAGCUCCUCCCCAACUUGAUUCAGCCUAUGCCCGGGGAUGGGCAAGGACAGUUUGGGGACUGGAAACAAAAUGGAGUUGUUUGGGUGAGAUCUCUUCCACUGUCUCAGUCACAAUUUUGCAGUGACAGUUUCAAAAGCUGCCUGUCCGGGUGGAUCACGAGGUCAGGAGUUCAAGACCAGCCUAGUCAACAUGACGAAACCCUGUCUCUACUAAAAAA
This 1691-nucleotide long non-coding RNA is filed under the name Homo sapiens (human). RNAcentral's name for it is "HSALNT0388797". Lineage: Eukaryota; Metazoa; Chordata; Mammalia; Primates; Hominidae. The record is from RNAcentral.